GGCGGACGGGUGAGUAAUGCUUAGGAAUCUGCCUAUUAGUGGGGGACAACGUUCCGAAAGGAACGCUAAUACCGCAUACGUCCUACGGGGGAAAGCAGGGGAUCUUCGGACCUUGCGCUAAUAGAUGAGCUAAGUCGGAUUAGCUAGUUGGUGGGGUAAAGGCCUACCAAGGCGACGAUCUGUAGCGGGUCUGAGAGGAUGAUCCGCCACACUGGGACUGAGACACGGCCCAGACUCCUACGGGAGGCAGCAGUGGGGAAUAUUGGACAAUGGGCGCAAGCCUGAUCCAGCCAUGCCGCGUGUGUGAAGAAGGCCUUUUGGUUGUAAAGCACUUUAAGCGAGGAGGAGGCUCCUUUAGUUAAUACCUAAAGUGAGUGGACGUUACUCGCAGAAUAAGCACCGGCUAACUCUGUGCCAGCAGCCGCGGUAAUACAGAGGGUGCGAGCGUUAAUCGGAUUUACUGGGCGUAAAGCGUGCGUAGGCGGCUUUUUAAGUCGGAUGUGAAAUCCCUGAGCUUAACUUAGGAAUUGCAUUCGAUACUGGAGAGCUAGAGUAUGGGAGAGGAUGGUAGAAUUCCAGGUGUAGCGGUGAAAUGCGUAGAGAUCUGGAGGAAUACCGAUGGCGAAGGCAGCCAUCUGGCCUAAUACUGACGCUGAGGUACGAAAGCAUGGGGAGCAAACAGGAUUAGAUACCCUGGUAGUCCAUGCCGUAAACGAUGUCUACUAGCCGUUGGGGCCUUUGAGGCUUUAGUGGCGCAGCUAACGCGAUAAG
This 771-nucleotide ribosomal RNA is filed under the name uncultured Acinetobacter sp. RNAcentral's name for it is "bacterial SSU rRNA". It matches the Rfam family "Bacterial small subunit ribosomal RNA", at positions 97 to 864 of the family's 1533-position model. Lineage: Bacteria; Pseudomonadati; Pseudomonadota; Gammaproteobacteria; Moraxellales; Moraxellaceae. The record is from RNAcentral.